GCCCGCUGCCGUGGCACCCGCCAUUUUUCCUUGCCGGAACUUCCGGCGAGGAAAAAUGGCGGGUGCCACGGCAGCGGGC
Molecule: non-coding RNA, 79 nt
Organism: Podarcis lilfordi (Lilford's wall lizard)
Lineage: Eukaryota; Metazoa; Chordata; Lepidosauria; Squamata; Lacertidae
Source: the annotation of a GenBank genome assembly